AGAGUUUGAUCCUGGCUCAGGACGAACGCUGGCGGCGCGCCUAACACAUGCAAGUCGAACGAGAGAGAGGAAGCUUGCUUCCUCAAUCGAGUGGCGAACGGGUGAGUAACGCGUGAGGAACCUGCCUCAAAGAGGGGGACAACAGUUGGAAACGACUGCUAAUACCGCAUAAGCCCACAGGUCGGCAUCGACCAGAGGGAAAAGGAGCAAUCCGCUUUGAGAUGGCCUCGCGUCCGAUUAGCUAGUUGGUGAGGUAAUGGCCCACCAAGGCAACGAUCGGUAGCCGGACUGAGAGGUUGAACGGCCACAUUGGGACUGAGACACGGCCCAGACUCCUACGGGAGGCAGCAGUGGGGAAUAUUGCACAAUGGGGGAAACCCUGAUGCAGCGACGCCGCGUGGAGGAAGAAGGUCUUCGGAUUGUAAACUCCUGUUGUUGAGGAAGAUAAUGACGGUACUCAACAAGGAAGUGACGGCUAACUACGUGCCAGCAGCCGCGGU
Molecule: ribosomal RNA, 500 nt
Filed under: uncultured bacterium
Lineage: Bacteria
Description: bacterial SSU rRNA
Rfam family: Bacterial small subunit ribosomal RNA
Source: RNAcentral